CAUCAUAAUCUGCUACAAUAUGCAGAUGUCUAUUCAUGAAGGGCCAUUCCAUGGAUUGGAGAGGAAUGCACUGAAGAUAAAAGACAAACUGGUGGGUGGUGGUCAUUACUAGUCUUUUCUCCUUGAGGGCUCCUUUCCUAGUUCCAAACACGGCUCAGCUAAGAACAAGAAUAGGUCCUUUCAGGAGCAUCAGUGCAGAUCAUCAUAAUCUGCUACAAUAUGCAGAUGUCUAUUCAUGAAGGGCCAUUCCAUGGAUUGGAGAGGAAUGCACUGAAGAUAAAAGACAAACUGGUGGGUGGUGGUCAUUACUAGUCUUUCUCCUUGAGGGCUCCUUUCCUAGUUCCAAACACGGCUCAGCUAAGAACAAGAAUAGGUAAUCAAUUUGAAGUCUUCCAAAUCUUGAACAUCUGUUGUUUCUUAUGUCUGCUGAGGAAUUUCCUAACACUGGCUGGAAAAUGUGGUAACCACCCUGAGAAGACGCGUAGGUAAGAACACCGGGGUAGACUGAGAAGGAGGAAACCAUUGUACCGCAUCAGCCAUGACAUGGAAACCAUUUAGGCCCCUGGUCCCCAUCAUGUCUAGUCCCCAUUUCGUUGCAGAAAAGUCUGGAAUUUAAGCCUAGCCAUUCAUUAUU
Molecule: long non-coding RNA, 634 nt
Organism: Vitis riparia (riverbank grape)
Lineage: Eukaryota; Viridiplantae; Streptophyta; Magnoliopsida; Vitales; Vitaceae
Exons: 2
Source: RefSeq, a predicted model, not a curated record